This 462-nucleotide ribosomal RNA is filed under the name uncultured bacterium. RNAcentral's name for it is "partial 16S ribosomal RNA". It matches the Rfam family "Bacterial small subunit ribosomal RNA", at positions 28 to 506 of the family's 1533-position model. The record is from RNAcentral.
GAUGAACGCUGACAGAAUGCUUAACACAUGCAAGUCUUUGGCGAAGCUGUGCUUGCACAGCCUAGCCAAGGCGGACGGGUGAGUAACGCGUAAGGAACUUGCCCUGCAGUCAGGGAUAACAGACGGAAACGACUGAUAAGACCUGGUAAAGUCAGGCGGACUCAUGUCCAGCCUGAUGAAAAGAGAUGCUGCAGGAGAGCCUUGCGUCCUAUUAGCUUGUUGGUGGGGUAACGGCCCACCAAGGCGAUGAUAGGUAGCCGGCCUGAGAGGGUGGACGGCCACAAGGGGACUGAGAUACGGCCCUUACUCCUACGGGAGGCAGCAGUGGGGAAUAUUGGACAAUGGGGGCAACCCUGAUCCAGCAAUUCUGUGUGCACGAUGAAGGUUUUCGGAUUGUAAAGUGCUUUCAGCAGGGAAGAAAAAAAUGACGGUACCUGCAGAAGAAGCGACGGCGAAAUACGU